UACGGGGGGGGCAAGCGUUGUUCGGAAUUACUGGGCGUAAAGGGUUCGUAGGUGGCCCGCUAAGUCAGACGUGAAAUCCCUCAGCUCAACUGGGGAACUGCGUCUGAGACUGGCGGGCUUGAGUGCAGGAGAGGAACGCGGAAUUCCAGGUGUAGCGGUGAAAUGCGUAGAUAUCUGGAGGAACACCGGUGGCGAAGGCGGCAUCCUGGGCCGGUAUUGACGCUGAGGAGCGAAAGCCAGGGGAGCAAACGGG
RNAcentral lists this ribosomal RNA (253 nucleotides) under uncultured bacterium. RNAcentral's name for it is "partial 16S ribosomal RNA". It matches the Rfam family "Bacterial small subunit ribosomal RNA", at positions 524 to 776 of the family's 1533-position model. The record is from RNAcentral.